UGGGGUAUAGUGAAACGGCAUCACAUAAUUCUGAUAAAGUUAUAUUCUGGGUUCAACUCCCAGUAUCCCAA
Molecule: transfer RNA, 71 nt
Filed under: bacterium
Lineage: Bacteria
Description: tRNA-Ile
Rfam family: tRNA
About the family: Transfer RNA (tRNA) molecules are approximately 80 nucleotides in length.
Source: RNAcentral